RNAcentral lists this non-coding RNA (26 nucleotides) under Rattus norvegicus (Norway rat). Lineage: Eukaryota; Metazoa; Chordata; Mammalia; Rodentia; Muridae. The record is from RNAcentral.
GAACAGCUCUGUCAGCACUGGGCUUU